UACGGAGGGUGCAAGCGUUAUCCGGAUUCACUGGGUUUAAAGGGUGCGUAGGCGGGCAGGUAAGUCCGUGGUGAAAUCUCUGAGCUUAACUCAGAAACUGCCAUGGAUACUAUUUGUCUUGAAUAUUGUGGAGGCAAGCGGAAUAUGUCAUGUAGCGGUGAAAUGCUUAGAUAUGACAUAGGACACCCAUUGCGAAGGCAGCUUGCUACACAAUGAUUGACGCUGAGGCACGAAAGCGUGGGGAUCAAACAGG
This 253-nucleotide ribosomal RNA is filed under the name uncultured bacterium. RNAcentral describes it as "partial 16S ribosomal RNA". It matches the Rfam family "Bacterial small subunit ribosomal RNA", at positions 524 to 776 of the family's 1533-position model. The record is from RNAcentral.